Molecule: ribosomal RNA, 420 nt
Filed under: uncultured Alphaproteobacteria bacterium
Lineage: Bacteria; Pseudomonadati; Pseudomonadota; Alphaproteobacteria
Description: bacterial SSU rRNA
Rfam family: Bacterial small subunit ribosomal RNA
Source: RNAcentral
AGAGUUUGAUCCUGGCUCAGAACGAACGCUGGCGGCAGGCUUAACACAUGCAAGUCGAACGCAUCCUUCGGGGUGAGUGGCAGACGGGUGAGUAACACGUGGGAACGUACCCUUUGGUUCGGAAUAACCCUGGGAAACUAGGGCUAAUACCGGAUACGGCCGGGAGGCGAAAGGUUUACUGCCGAAGGAACGGCCCGCGUCCGAUUAGCUAGUUGGUGGGGUAAUGGCUCACCAAGGCGACGAUCGGUAGCUGGUCUGAGAGGAUGGCCAGCCACAUUGGGACUGAGACACGGCCCAAACUCCUACGGGAGGCAGCAGUGGGGAAUAUUGGACAAUGGGCGCAAGCCUGAUCCAGCCAUGCCGCGUGAGUGAUGACGGCCUUAGGGUUGUAAAGCUCUUUUACCUGGGAAGAUAAUGACG